RNA transcript from Glycine soja, 2156 nucleotides. RefSeq lists it as uncharacterized. The transcript is spliced from 11 exons. Lineage: Eukaryota; Viridiplantae; Streptophyta; Magnoliopsida; Fabales; Fabaceae. The record is from RefSeq and is a predicted model, not a curated record.
UAUAAGAAUCCACAAACAAAAAGUGUAAGGCAAACCAACCAAAUUACCAAAGUUACAAACUCCCUUAAGAGAAGAAAACAAAAAUAAAAAUAAAAUUAAAAAAAAACACAUGUUUUUGUUCACUAAACAAUUAAAGAAAAAAUAAAUGCUUCUUAACCACAUUGGCGCCGGAUUCUGUUGGGUGGACCCGCCACGACCCGACCCGAAUCCCAGAACCCGAAUAGGCCCCUCGCGUUUUCAUCGACGGGGGGCCUCGACGCCGCGUCCGGCGAGGCAUGCGGCGUUCCACGGAGUGCGAAUGGAGAAGAAAGGCGGCAAGCGGCGGUCGAUAUGCACCGCCGACGAGCUUCACCGCGUGGCAGUUUCGAACUCCAAUUGGAAGCUCGCUCUGUGGCGCUACCGUCCUUCUCCUGAGGCCCUGUCGAGGAAUCACCCGCUUUUGUUGUUGUCAGGGGUUGCUACCAAUGCAAUAGGCUAUGAUCUUUCUCCUGAGUCUUCAUUUGCUCGGUACAUGUCAGCCCAAGGUUUCGAUACAUGGAUUCUUGAGGUUCGAGGUGCUGGGUUGAGCACACUUGGAGAUAGCUUGGAGGAAGAUGAGGAAUGCCUCAAGAAUUUUUCUAAGAUUGAUUCUGUUAUUAAUGAUGAUAUUGGUGAAAGCAGUGCUUCUUUUGUAUCAGAAGUUCCUCAUAUGAAAACGAGAGGAUCAGAGGUAGUAACUAAAUAUGAGGAAAUGCAGCUAAUGACGAGGUUCAUGGAGAUUCUUACAAGGAUAUCUGAAAGGCUUGCAGGAUUUCUCAAUGGAGAUUUGUUGGAAGGACAGAACUCUGCAAUUGCUGGACAAAUCAAGGAUUUCAAUCGGAGGCUUCGAGCUAUUAUUGAAGGUCAGCUGUUGUUCCCAGCAAAAAUUUUAGAAUUGCAAGACCGUUUUGCUGCCAAUCUAGAAGAGUUCCAGAAACAGCUUGAGCUGAUGGUCAAGUAUGAUUGGGACUUUGACCAUUAUUUGGAAGAGGACGUACCUGCUGCUAUGGAGUACAUAAGGGCUCAAUGCCAACCAAGAGAUGGAAAAUUGCUGGCAAUUGGUCACUCAAUGGGGGGUAUCUUGUUGUAUGCAAUGCUUUCAAGUUGUUUUAUGUCAGGUUUUGAUGGAAAGGAUCCUGGGUUGGCAUCUGUUGUUACUUUGGCAUCAUCACUAGACUAUACCCCUUCAAGAUCAUCUCUCAAGUUGCUUUUACCCCUGGCAGAACCUACUCGAGUUUUGAACAUUCCUGUUAUUCCAGUUGGGCCAUUGAUGGCUACUGUUCAUCCCCUUGCUAGCUAUCCUCCAUAUGUUUUAUCUUGGCUAAAUUCUCAGAUUUCAGCUCAAGAUAUGAUGGACCAAAAACUAUUUGAGAAACUUGUUUUGAACAACUUCGGUACCGUACCUUCCAAGCUUCUCUUGCAGUUAUCAUCCGUUUUCCAAAAAGGUGGCUUACGAGACAGGAGUGGAACAUUCUUCUACAAGGACCAUCUCCACAAAAGUAAUGUUCCUGUCCUAGCGAUUGCUGGUGACCGAGACUUAAUCUGCCCUCCUGAAGCUGUAUAUGUUGAUAGGUUCCAUUCCCAAACUAGUGAGACUCACAUGAAACUCAACCAAUACGAAAGAUCAUGUUGGAAAAAGAGUGUUAUAAAAAACGGUGAAGCUUAUUCCUGACGAAUUGGUUACAUACAAAGUCUUUGGGGAGCCUGGUGGUCCACACUAUGCCCACUAUGACUUAGUGGGUGGUCGUCUGGCAGCAGAUCAACUUUAUCCAUGUAUCACUGAAUUUCUCAUUCAUCAUGACACGGUUUAGUCCAUUGCUCUUUUUCCAAUGCCUCAUUCUUUUGUACAUAUAGAACACUAGAUCAAAAUCCUCAGAGAGGAAACCCCUACACCCUACAAGAUCCUGCCACUAUUUAUUCUAUGCAUGAUCUGCAGUAAUACUUAAAUUCCUGUAUAUAGUCAAAGACAAUAUGUACACGUGUAGUCUUAAAUAUUGUAAACAAGGUGACAGUACAACUUCUGGAAGGGUUGGACUAUAUCAUUCUGAUUUUACCAGGUUCCAGGAAAGCAGGUAAUAGGAAUCAGGUGGUAUUUUUAAUCAAAUUAACAAGAAUUUACAAAGUGGAAGUGAAGUUGC